Galeopterus variegatus (Sunda flying lemur) is the source of this 969-nucleotide long non-coding RNA. RefSeq lists it as uncharacterized. The transcript has 3 exons. Lineage: Eukaryota; Metazoa; Chordata; Mammalia; Dermoptera; Cynocephalidae. The record is from RefSeq and is a predicted model, not a curated record.
CCUUCCCCCAUCCCUCCGUGCCUCCCUCCUCCUUUUCACCUUCCAAAAGCCGGGCGCAGGCGAGCCGAGCAGCAGCAACAAGUUCAAAAGAUGUUAACGUUGCAGGGGUUAACAUGGCUUCUCUCCAACUCGCCAGAAAGUCAGGCAGUCCCCUCGGUCUAGGUCUUGCAACAACUCCUUUUCUCGUCCUUUGCGAAUGACAGGAGGAUGUACAACCUUUUUCUUCAUGUCAGCGUCAAGGAGCGUGCGUCUCUAAGUCCUCUGCUUGCUGACUACAUGGAAAACAAACUCAGCAAGAUCAAAAUUGAAUUCAUCACCCCUCUUCUUUGAUUAUCUACUUCUCUUUUCUCUCCUGGACAAUGAAGUUCUACAAAGAAACCUGGUGGUCAUCUUGUUCUUCACUGCUUUUCCCCAGCAAAGACACACACUCAUCCAAUGACCCAGUAACUGUUAUAUUAUAUAUUGCACUUUCAUUACCAGUCUACCCUUACACUGUGCCUAGAGUGAUUUUUUAAAAUUAUUUUGAGAUAAUUACAGAUUGAUCACAGAUGUAAAAAUAAUAGAGAUUCCUUAUACCUAGCACCUAAUGUAACAUCUUGCACAUUAUCAUAUAUAAUCACAAUCAGGAAAUUGACAUUGAUAUUCUCAGUCCAUUCAAAGUGCUAUAACAAAAUGCCAUACACUGAGUGGCUUAUAAACAACAGAAAUUUAUUUCUUACAGUUCUUGAAGCUGGAAUAUCCUAGAUGAAGGAGGCAGCAGAUUUGGUGUUUGGUGAGGGCCUGCUUUCUGGUUCCUGGAUGGUGCUUUCUAGUUGUCUUUUCCACAUGGUGGAAAGAGAAGGCAGAUCUCUGGGGACUCCUUUAUUAGGGCAUUAAUCCCAAUUAUGAGGACUCUGAUGUUAUCAUUACCCUCAUGACCUAAUCACCUCCCAAAGGCCCCACCUCCUAAUACCAUUACAUUCGUGAUUA